UACGUAGGGACCAAGCGUUGUUCGGAUUUACUGGGCGUAAAGGGCGCGUAGGCGGCGUGGUAAGUCACUUGUGAAAUCUCUGAGCUUAACUCAGAACGGCCAAGUGAUACUGCUGUGCUAGAGUGCAGAAGGGGCAAUCGGAAUUCUUGGUGUAGCGGUGAAAUGCGUAGAUAUCAAGAGGAACACCUGAGGUGAAGACGGGUUGCUGGGCUGACACUGACGCUGAGGCGCGAAAGCGUGGGGAGCAAACAGG
RNAcentral lists this ribosomal RNA (253 nucleotides) under uncultured bacterium. RNAcentral's name for it is "partial 16S ribosomal RNA". It matches the Rfam family "Bacterial small subunit ribosomal RNA", at positions 524 to 776 of the family's 1533-position model. The record is from RNAcentral.